UGGGGGAUAUUCCACAAUGGGCGAAAGCUUGAUGCAGCGCCGCCGCGUGGGGGAUGAAGGCUUUCGGGUGGUAAACCUCUUUCGCUACCGACCAAGGCCCGCUUAGGGUGGGUUGAGGGUAGGUGGAGAAGAAGCGCCGGCUAACUCCGUGCCAGCAGCCGCGGUAAUACGUAGGGCGCGAGCGUUGUCCGGAAUUAUUGGGCGUAAAGGGCUUGUAGGCGGCUUGUUGCGCCUGCUGUGAAAACGCGGGGCUUAACUUCGCGCGUGCAGUGGGUACGGGCAGGCUUGAGUGUGGUAGGGGUGACUGGAAUUCCAGGUGUAGCGGUGGAAUGCGCAGAUAUCUGGAGGAACACCGAUGGCGAAGGCAGGUCACUGGGCCAUUACUGACGCUGAGGAGCGAAAGCAUGGGUAGCGAACAGG
This 420-nucleotide ribosomal RNA is filed under the name bacterium. RNAcentral's name for it is "partial 16S ribosomal RNA". It matches the Rfam family "Bacterial small subunit ribosomal RNA", at positions 355 to 776 of the family's 1533-position model. The record is from RNAcentral.